AUUGAACGCUGGCGGAAUGCUUUACACAUGCAAGUCGAACGGUAGAGGGGGCAACCCCUCGAGAGUGGCGAACGGGUGAGUAAUAUAUCGGAACGUGCCCAGUCGUGGGGGAUAACGUAGCGAAAGUUACGCUAAUACCGCAUACGAUCUAAGGAUGAAAGCGGGGGAUCGCAAGACCUCGCGCGAUUGGAGCGGCCGAUAUCAGAUUAGGUAGUUGGUGGGGUAAAGGCUCACCAAGCCAACGAUCUGUAGCUGGUCUGAGAGGACGACCAGCCACACUGGACCUGAGACACGGUCCAGACUCCUACGGGAGGCAGCAGUGGGGAAUUAUGGACAAUGGACGCAAGUCUGAUCCAGCCAUUCCGCGUGCAGGAUAAAGGCCCUCGGGUUGUAAACUGCUUUUGUACGGAACGAAAAGGUCUCUCUUAAUACGGGGGACUCAUGACGGUACCGUAAGAAUAAGCACCGGCUAACUACGUGCCAGCCGCCGCAGUAA
RNAcentral lists this ribosomal RNA (496 nucleotides) under uncultured bacterium. Its description in RNAcentral is "partial 16S ribosomal RNA". It matches the Rfam family "Bacterial small subunit ribosomal RNA", at positions 30 to 523 of the family's 1533-position model. The record is from RNAcentral.